GCCCUGUACUUUUAAAUUUUUUUUCUUUAAAUAUUUUGUUCAAUUUUUCCCCUGCUGCCUCAAUCCCAUCAGGCUCCAGUGGUGCUUAGAUGGGCCAGAGAGCAGCUGACAUGCAGGGAUAGCUUGAGUCUGUGUUCUUGGGGGAGCCAAGAAGGGGAGCCAAGGUGGUUGCAUGCAAGGAAUUAGCCAUGAAUGGCAUGGACUGAUGGUUGGAAGAGCCGGUAUCUGUGGCUGUGAACUGACAUUUUCAAGCUGAGACC
Molecule: small nucleolar RNA, 260 nt
Filed under: Spermophilus dauricus (Daurian ground squirrel)
Lineage: Eukaryota; Metazoa; Chordata; Mammalia; Rodentia; Sciuridae
Description: Small Cajal body specific RNA 6 (ENSSDAG00000005740.1)
Rfam family: Small Cajal body specific RNA 6
About the family: U88 is small Cajal body specific RNA (scaRNA). scaRNAs are a novel class of small nuclear RNAs which localise to the Cajal bodies. U88 is found associated with both fibrillarin and Gar1p and co-localises with coilin in Cajal bodies. U88 scaRNA is composed of both an H/ACA box and a C/D box conserved domains domains and is predicted to guide 2'-O-methylation of residue U41 of the U5 snRNA.
Source: RNAcentral